GAUGAACGCUGGCGGCGUGCCUAAUACAUGCAAGUCGAGCGAACGGACGAGAAGCUUGCUUCUCUGAUGUUAGCGGCGGACGGGUGAGUAACACGUGGAUAACCUACCUAUAAGACUGGGAUAACUUCGUGAAACCGGAGCUAAUACCGGAUAAUAUUUUGAACCGCAUGGUUCAAAAGUGAAAGACGGUCUUGCUGUCACUUAUAGAUGGAUCCGCGCUGCAUUAGCUAGUUGGUAAGGUAACGGCUUACCAAGGCAACGAUGCAUAGCCGACCUGAGGGGGUGAUCGGCCACACUGGAACUGAGACACGGUCCAGACUCCUACGGGAGGCAGCAGUAGGGAAUCUUCCGCAAUGGGCGCAAGCCUGACGGAGCAACGCCGCGUGAGUGAUGAAGGUCUUCGGAUCGUAAAACUCUGUUAUUAGGGAAGAACAGCUGUGGAAGUAACUGUGCACAUUUUGACGGUACCUAAACAGAAAGCCACGGCUAACUUCGUG
This 497-nucleotide ribosomal RNA is filed under the name uncultured bacterium. RNAcentral describes it as "partial 16S ribosomal RNA". It matches the Rfam family "Bacterial small subunit ribosomal RNA", at positions 28 to 507 of the family's 1533-position model. The record is from RNAcentral.